Pan troglodytes (chimpanzee) is the source of this 2291-nucleotide long non-coding RNA. RefSeq lists it as uncharacterized. The record is from RefSeq and is a predicted model, not a curated record. NCBI's taxonomy places the organism in Eukaryota, Metazoa, Chordata, Mammalia, Primates, Hominidae. The transcript is spliced from 4 exons.
GUGAUGUCACUGAGGCGGUGAAAGGAGCACCUGCCUCUAAUGGCACCCACCAUUAAGUCGGAUCUCAGCAACCAUCUGCGUGGCAGGAGCUAUCACACUGGUGCCUCGCAGUAGCCAAGGAGAGACGCCAAUGAGGGAAUCAUUUUUCCACUUGGUGAAAUACAUUUUGCUGCGUGAAAGCACGAGGAGGGCCUGUCUUGGAUAGGUGGAGUGGUCCUAGGUCCUACUAGAUGGAAACCUCAGGACUCGGAAGAGGUUCACCUUUGGAGUGAGUCCCCCUAAGGGGCUGGCCAGCCUCACGCCAGCUGCCUUCUUCUCAUGACGUGUGGUGUCCUCACAGCCAGCCGUAGGAUCUGCAUUGAGUUCAGCAAGCGGAGGCGACUUCCCCAGGGCCACACAGCCAUGGAGGGCUGCGGCUCAGUUGCUGACUGCUCCAGCUCACCCUCCCGUCCAUGAGGUUUCUGCUCCAAAAUGCUGUUGCUAAGAAAAAUGUUCCAAACACGACCCAUUUGCUGACCACAGGUCUUCAUUAUAAAAGCAUCUGAAGGAGUUCCUGAAGGGGAGGUCCUGUUGGCUGGACCCUGUCGUGCUGGUUAUAUGUAAACUGGCUGAACUACCCAGUUCUUAAACUGUCACAUGCUCCCGUCAGCUGCUCGGCUUCCUCCCCUCAGGGCAGUGCUAUUUAACACUCUCUCUUCUAAUCUCGCCUUCCUGCCUCCCCCGUCUGCAGCCUCCCCUGCACUGCGCACCCGCUCACUCUCCCCUUCCCCCAGGAGAACACAUUCUGGCAGACAGAAGUUCAAAUGAGAAGUUAAAACGCUUUGAGGCAGCAGGCAAAGUGUCAGCAGAGCCGGUGGAAACCUCAGCCUUGGGAGCAACACGUGGACCCUGCUUGGGGAUAAAGCAGGACAGACAGAAGGAGCAGGACGGACAGGAGGAACAGGACAGACAGAAGGAGCAGGACGGACAGGAGGAGCAGGACGGACAGAAGGAGCAGGACAGACAGGAGGAGCAGGACGGACAGGAGGAGCAGGACAGACAGAAGGAGCAGGACAGACAGGAGGAGCAGGACGGACAGGAGGAGCAGGACAGAGAGAAGGAGCAGGACGGACAGGAGGAGCAGGACAGACAGAAGGAGCAGGAUGGACAGAAGGAGCAGGACAGACAGGAGGAGCAGGACAGAGAGAAGGAGCAGGACAGACAGAAGGAGCAGGACGGACAGGAGGAGCAGGACGGACAGGAGGAGCAGGAUGGACAGAAGGAGCAGGACGGACAGAAGGAGCAGGAUGGACAGAAGGAGCAGGACGGACAGGAGGAGCAGGACAGAGAGAAGGAGCAGGACAGCCAGACAGGAGGAGCAGCCUUCUGGGACCCAAACAAACAGUCAUGCCCCAAAUACCCCCAGGGCUCUUGAAAGGGACAGCGGAAGGCACAGGCCAGCUUCCUCUCCAAGCAGACCCAUGUCCAUGAACCCUGCAAUCCCAGGCCAGGAGACAAUCUUGAAACAUGCUGUGACCCUCUCUUCCCUGGCGGAAGCCCUCACGGAAUGGACUGAAGCAGCUGAGGCACCCCCGGGGGGCUCAGUGAGGAUGAGGAGGGAAGGAGGCGGCCGUGGGACUCUGGGCAUGCAUCUGGCACAGGGCGGAGCCGUCUGAGAUGCCAUCCAUCCCUCUUCUUGCUGGUGUCGACUUCAUCUGUCAUCGCUGCUCAUCCCUUCCACAGCAGUUCUGCCUGAUGGUUCACCUGCGGCAGCCGUGCCACGUGAAGAUCUGGGUUGGUUUCCACCCUCCUGAAGCUCAUGGUCCGCUGGGGGAGUUGAGAUCACAGACAAUAUAACUUGUCCAGCUUCCCUGCAGCUGCCUUCUUGGGGCUUGACUUUAGAUCCCAGGAAUCUCUCUCAGAACCAGCCCUGGCCUGCCUAACCCACCUGCUGUCCUGUCCCUAAGCAACACCUCCAUCCUGCCACCCAAGAUACAGCAUAGUCCUCCAGCGUAACAAUGUCACCCCCUCACUGAGUGCCCUGAUGGAAUGUAAAAUAUGCCACCCACCCUGAUGUGGAAGGGGAAGUGUCCUCUUCAUGGCAUACCCAUGUGGGCUGUUUUCUCCUGUUCACCCAAGAUAGAGAGCCCCAAAGGGGCUGGGGCCAAAUCUGGGUCAUGGCCACAUCCAUGAACAGUGGGAUAGACCCUCUGGUGUGCACCAUGACCCCCUUCAAGGAAGGAUGUGUUGCCAGCUUCUCUGUGUGCUGCCUACACACAGCCUUCAUCAGCCACCAUUUGGGCCCAACUGAG